RNAcentral lists this long non-coding RNA (4093 nucleotides) under Apis mellifera (honey bee). Its description in RNAcentral is "uncharacterized LOC100578444". The record is from RNAcentral. Lineage: Eukaryota; Metazoa; Arthropoda; Insecta; Hymenoptera; Apidae.
AAAAAAAAAAGAAAAACAAAACAUUAUUUAUCGAACAAAACAGAGAAACUAUCUAAUGGGCAAAAGUCUGAAAGUUUUCAAACUUCAAACGAUAAUAACCAUGACUCUGUAAAUGGGAAAAUCUUGUAUACACAGGUAAAAGAGACAGUGAUCCAAUCUUUGAUGAAAUAAAUAUCUGUCACGUACAUUCUCAUGCAUAUCUCGAGCUGUGAUAAAGAUUCUCAUUAACAAUGAUGAUAAAUAUUGCAGAACGCUUUGAGAAACUCGGUUGUUCGAGAGAGACGAGAUGGUCAUCCAUGGAAGAACGAAGAGAGUUAAUUGGCUGAAUCGAAUUAAGAGUCAGCCAAUAUUUUCAUCGCUGCAAUUCUCUAAUUAGCCGCGGACGAAUUGACCAAUUGUUUCCACCAGUUUGCACGUCCGCCUCUCGUUAACGACGAGUCAUCGACAAAAGGGAGCACCAUACGAUUUUAUAAAAAAAAUCUCAUCAUUCCAUUUCAAUAGUACUGUUUGGAUAGAUUCAUUGUUUUGUAUUCUCAUCUUAUAUAAAAUUUUUUUUUUUUGUUACAGAAAAAAUGAGGAAAGAAAGGAUUAUAUUUAAAAUUUUUACAAACCUUUUAGAAACCUUGAUGCUAUUUUUGAUAACAAUCUAUUAAUUAUUUAAGAUAGAAUUUACCACACUGAUAGAGAUGAGAAUUGUUACUUUUCAAUUUGCUCACGUGAGAAAUAAGAAUUCUAGGUUUGUUUGUUAAAUAUUGAAAUAGAUAAGCAUGAUAAUGAAUGUGUGCAAUUUUAAUCAAACAAAGUCUAAUCGCUAUACGAUUAUGCAAUAAGUCAAUAAGGCGCGAUGAACAAGCUUAUAGAAAUUUAUGAAGUAAAAUGUACAAUUGGACACGUUCCAGAAAACGUGAAAGCAGGAAAUCACAUAACAAUAAUAGUGAAAAAACUAUUAUGGAACAAUAGAAUUUCCUCUAAAGGAAAGAAGAUUAUUACAAUCUAUCAAUAAUAAUAACAAAAUUCUAAUAUUCCACAAUCUAAGUUCCUUAACCUUCGAAGAAAAAGAAUAUUUGGAAAACAAAGAAAAAAUUUUUCCUCACUUCAUGGAAAUCAUUUUUCAAAGGAACGAUUUUAUGCAUCGAAGAAAAUAUCUGUCACUAGCAACGACCUUAUCAGUCAACAGCUUAUCAUCGACCUCACGUAGUUGAGGACAGGUUUAUGACUUGACUGCUGGAAUCGCGAACAAGUGUAUCUCCGUUACCUCAAACGGUUCCUCUUUUCUUAAUACCUCUUUUUGACGUAGACACAUUCUUGUUUUGAGAAAACUAAGACAAAGCAGAAUAUUUGCAAAACAUAUGCGAAAAGAGACACGAUUUUCCGAACGUGGUAUAACUAUAUAUUGUCUUAUAAUCGCGAAAGAAGAUUCGAGACACGUGUGAAGACGGACAAACAGCACCGAUUCAACUUCAAAGAAAUUUCUUUAACGUCGACACGAUGUCGAAUUGACAACUGAUGAGUUAUUUCUUCAGAUUCUUUUGAGAUUUCUUGAAAAUUGUUGAACAAAACGACUUAAAGACGAAUGAUCUUUUAAUUUAAAAAUGAGAAUUUUGAAAGAAAGUUUAUUUACUUUAUAUAUAUAACAAUAUUAAUUUAAAAUACAAAAUUCAUAAACAAAUGUCUAAUUAUGAGUGAAAGGAAAUCUCAUAUAUUUUAAUAGAAACUUUACGUUAAACCAUAGUUUCAUAUCUAAACAAAUGCAUAACUUAGUAACACCUUCGCCAGACAGAUUUCUCGUCAAAUAAUAACGAUAUCUUUUGAAACGACAACUUUCAUCAACGACAACAGCUUUCACAUCGACAAAUAUAGAAUUCCAUUUCAUAGGAUCGAAUUCAGUCCGAAUUUUGAUACGAAGCCCAUCAAAACAUGAACGAAUUUGCGACAAAAUGAUUUAUCUUGUUAUAAAAGUAUAUCUAAAAUCGAGGGAAAUAUCGUUUCUGGAAAACAGCAAUAUCAUUGAGAUCCUAAAUGCUCGUUAACCUAUCUAUCGAAACCGAUUUUAACGCUUUUGGAAUAAAUGAUUAUGCAUGCAGAUAGCACGAUCCCACGAUUACCACUCAUUACGCCGAGUUGUUCCAUCGGGAACGACACGAUAUCGGCGGUACAAUCACGGCCAAAUUGCCUUUGGACGAUAAUGUUCGGAGAAAUGACCGAAACACCGAUGCACUCGAUGCAUCCGUAAAAAAAAGUAACGCGAGAAUCACGAUUAUGGGUAUCCAAAGAGCCAAAACGAAAUUUGAUUCGAUACUUGGUUAAUUCUGGAUUAAGUGAUGGGCGCAAGUAAUAUUGCAAGUAAUAUGAUCUUUCAUGAAUAAUGAUAGAAAUGAAUCUUCUUUAUUUGAAGAUUAAAUAAGAUAAUCUCUUAUGAGUAAAUAGUAAUCGAAAUUGAAUGAAAUGUGUAAAUGUGAAUGAAAUUAAAUUUUUAUAUUGAAAAUGAAAUAUGAUGAGUAAAAACUCAUGAGGCAAACUUUUUAUAUUGAAAAAUUAAAUAUGAUCUCUUACGAGUAAUCAAACUCUAUGCAGUGAAUAUUUUAUAAUGAAAUAAUGAAUUUUUUUAUGAAUCGAAUUCUUAAAAUGAAUGGAAAAGUGAAAUAAACUAAACAAAUUAACAUUUCACAAUCUAAGCACAUAAAAAAAAAAAAACAAAAAACGUGAUUUCUUACAGGUAUUAAAAUUAAAGAUGGAAUUUUAUUUGUAUUCGUGUGUACGUAUAGAACUUAAUCCCAUCGCUAACUCGAGCCAAUUUCCAACGAGAGAACCCUCUCUUAAAUCGACGAAAAUUACUGGUUACUCAAACGACCCUCCAUGAAAUGUGAAAACCUGUGUAUAUUCGAAGGGACCAUGCUCGAUCGAAGGACGUUGAGAACGUGUUAUGCAAGAGGCUUCGCAUAUAUUUAUAUAUGUUAAUAAAUAAAAUUUUCUCGAACAAAGAAAAACUGAAAUAAUUGCUGUCUGAAAUACAGAAAUCGAGCGAGUAGUACGCGUGCAACUUUCACUCUUGUCUUGGCACGUUCCAAGGAACAAAAAUUGACUUGUCGCACAAACGUUCGCCUGAUCUGGGUUGCGAUUGUUUCUGAGAAACCGAGCACGACAAUUCGAAGAUAUUUCACGAAAAAUAGAGUGACCAGAUGAUCUCGGGGUUAUCUCAGUGGGGAGAUAUCUUGUGAACAUAAUAAAAUGGAUAUUUAUGGAUAUUGUGCUUGAUAUUGUGAAGAAAUAUUUUCUUAUUGUAGUUAGAAGGAAAACUGAAAGAAAUACAGGAUUUCAUGAAUUUUAUUGAGUAAUAUUUUGUAUGAUAUUUGAUAUCGGAUUUGAAAGGUUUCUUGAACAAUGAAAAUCUUUAAAAUUAAAGGUAAUAUUUCUUUUUCCUUAAUAAUUCUAAUUCUGAACAUAACAAAUUUAUUUCUUAUUUAUUCUAUAAUAUAUGUCAUGAAUUAAAUUAUCAUUUUUACGAAAAUUUGUCAACAUAAAAGAGUUCUGAAUAAAAAAAAAGUAUGGAAAAUUGUUAGAUAGGAUCAUAUAUAUGAUGUAGUAUGCGUGUGGUUAAUAAUUUCUUUAUUAUUAAAAUUAGCUGUGUAGGAUAAGAUCUUCAAUAAAUUUGUUUUCUCAAGAUCUAUAUCAGAAAAUAAUAGCAUAUAAUCAUAUAUUAUUAUUCUAAAAUUUGCAUGUGAAACAACGUGAAAACAUCAAUAGAUAUAAUUUUGAACUUAGUUACCAAAAUUAAAAAAAAAAUCAUUUAUACAAAUAUAUUGUGUGUGUAAUUUCAAGUGGAAAGUGAGACUGACAGGAAUCAAUAAAAAUCGUUCGUGAGAUGUUUCUUGAAAGCGAAAGUUCGUAAAUUUCGUUGCUCACCGAAUUCUUGUAUCUUCCUUUUUUUGCGAGAGUUUCUUUCAACACGUUCCAUAAUUGAUCCAUUACAAAUAACAGAGAUGAAAGAAAUGUAUUUUCAAGGAAAUAUAUUUUUAACAAAUUAAAUUUUUCGUUGUUUGAUUUAUUAUCUGCAAUAUAGGUCCUGCGCUUAUUCUUAAAACAAAAAAUAUUU